UGGGGCGUCGCCAAGCGGUAAGGCAUCGGUUUUUGGUACCGACAUCCUAGGUUCGAUCCCUAGCGCCCCAGCCA
Molecule: transfer RNA, 74 nt
Filed under: Alphaproteobacteria bacterium
Lineage: Bacteria; Pseudomonadati; Pseudomonadota; Alphaproteobacteria
Also listed under: 1 other name
Description: tRNA-Gln
Rfam family: tRNA
About the family: Transfer RNA (tRNA) molecules are approximately 80 nucleotides in length.
Source: RNAcentral